AUGACCUUUGCAGGGGUCUUUCUCCAAAAGUCAGUUUCCCAUUCUGCCAAAUUUCCCUUUCUCUCUCUAGAAAACAGAAAACCNUUUUUGCCCUAAAACAUUUUCUCUGCCUUCUCUCUAAAUUCCCAGCAAAUUUAACCUUUCAAUCUUUGAAUAGGUGGUGCUCAAAUGUUCACCGCGUCGAAAGCUCCGUAACGGACUGAACAAUUUCUUGUUUCUACCGGGUGUCUUUAAAAUUGGCUGUGAGGAGCACUGUUUAGGGCGUCCCUGUCAAGUAAACUGUGAAGUUUUCUAGAUAUGGUUGAGGAGGUCCUCUUGGAGCAAGUACUGGAGGACGCUGAUGCUGCUGCUUAGCUCUCUUUAAGAUUUCAUUUAUUUAGCUUAUGUUAUUUUGAAAUACUUAUUAGAUUAUUUUGAAAUACUUUACAAUUAUUAAAGUUUUAAACUAGGCCAUUAUGGA
Long non-coding RNA from Vigna radiata var. radiata (mung bean), 460 nucleotides. RefSeq lists it as uncharacterized. The transcript has 3 exons. The record is from RefSeq and is a predicted model, not a curated record. NCBI's taxonomy places the organism in Eukaryota, Viridiplantae, Streptophyta, Magnoliopsida, Fabales, Fabaceae.